UUUUUUCUUUUUUUUUUUUUUUUUUAAUGGCCACACCUGGGCAUAUGGACGUUCCUAGGCUGAAUCUGACCUACCCUGCAGCUUCAGCGAUGCUGGAUCCUUUAACCCACUGUGCCAGCCAGAGAUUGAACCUGCACCUCCGUAGCAACCCGAGUGGCUGCAAUUGGAUUCUUAACCCACUUUGCCACAGCAGGAAAUCCUAGAUUUUUAAUAAUAUGGCAAACAAUGUAUUUUUCUACUUUAUUCAAAGUCUGGGAAUUUUUCAUUGCUGGCAGAUGAACCCCAUAAAUUACUCUUCUAAGAUGGGAUUGGUUUAUUUGGAGAGUGUUGCACUUAGAAAACUUGAAAUUCAAAAAUAGUUUUAACUUUGAAUUAAUUUUUGACUCACAGAAAAGCUGUAGAGCACAACUUGCUGUCGUGCCUCAGCGGUUAACGAACCUGACUAGAAUCCACGAGGAUGUGGGGUUAAUCCCUGGCCUCGCUCACUGGGUUAAGGAUCCAGUAUGGCCAUGAGCUGUGGUGUAGGUUGCAGACGAGGCUCGGAUCUAAGUUGCUCUGGUUGUGGUGUAGGCUGGCAGCUACAGCUCUGAUUCAGCCCCUAGCCUAGGAACCUCCAUAUGCCUUGGGUACAGCCCUAAAAAGACAAAAAAAAAAAAAAAAAAAAAAAGUUGUAGAGCUGAGAGUACCUGUAUACUUCCACCCAGUUUUCCCCACUGUUAACGUCUUAACCCUAACUAUAACCAUACCCAUAGAUAUCACAGUGGGAUCAAAGUGCACAUUGGGUCAACCAACAAUAGGAAAUCAACAUUGCUCUAAUUCUAUUAUCUAUACCACAGAACUUAUUGGAAUUUUACCAGUUUUUUCCACUAAUGUCCUCUGGGGUCCUAUUCAAGGUCCCGCAUCACAUUUAGGGAUUUUUCCUUGGCCCUCUCCAGUCUAUUCAUUUCUAAACCUUCCCUUUCCUUUCAUAGAUUCAAUACUUUUGAAGAGUACUCACUAUUCAUAGACUUCACUGUGGGCUUUGACAUCCACACGAUUAACAUGGGGUUGUAUUUCUUUGGCAAGAGUAUCACAGAAUCGAUGUCUUGUCUUUUUCAGUGCAUCAUGUCAUGGGCUCCUGAGUGUCCACAUGUCCUCUUCCUGGAAAUUUUAAUCUCCUUCACUGGGAUUCUGCUGUGUAAAACACUAUCUUUCUCUUUGCAGUUAAGAAAUAUCUUGGAGGACAUUUGUACAUUUAAAAGUUUGUACAGGGAGUUCCUGUCAUGGCUUAUUAGCAGGUUAAGAACCCAGCCUAGUGUCGGUCAGGAUGUGGGUUUGAUCCCUGCCUUUGUUCAGCAGGUUAAGGAUCCAGGAUUGCCGUGAGCUGUGGCAUAGGUCACAGAGGCAGCUCAGACCCCGAGUUGCUGUUGCUGUUGCUGUGGCUGUGGCCUAGGCUGGCAGCUGCAGCUCCAAUUUGAUCCCUAGCCUGGGAAUUUCCCUAUGUUGCAAGUGCGGCCAUAAAAAGAAGAAAAAAAUAAAUAAAUAGGCCUAAAAAAUAAGUAAAAUUGCACAUUUAAAACAAACAAAUAGGAAUUCCCGUUGUGGUGCAGUGGUUAACGAAUCCGACGAGGAACCAUGAGGUUGCGAGUUUGAUCCCUGGCCUUCCUCAGUGGGUUAAGGAUCCAGCGUUACUGUGAGCUGUGGUGUAGGUCACAGACACUGCUCAGAUCCCGCAUUGCUGUGGCUCUGGCGUAGGCUGGUGGCUACAGCUCUGAUUAGAUCUCUAGCCUGGGAGCUUCCAUAUGCCGGGGGAGCGGCCCUAGAAAAGGCAAAAAGACAAAAAGAUAAAAAAAAAAAAAA
Molecule: long non-coding RNA, 1839 nt
Filed under: Sus scrofa (pig)
Lineage: Eukaryota; Metazoa; Chordata; Mammalia; Artiodactyla; Suidae
Description: lncRNA (ENSSSCG00015029860.1)
Source: RNAcentral